AGCCACAUUGGGACUGAGACACGGCCCAAACUCCUACGGGAGGCAGCAGUGGGGAAUAUUGGACAAUGGGGGCAACCCUGAUCCAGCAAUGCCAUGUGUGUGAAGAAGGCCCUAGGGUUGUAAAGCACUUUAGUUGGGGAGGAAAGCCUCAAGGUUAAUAGCCUUGGGGGAGGACGUUACCCAAAGAAUAAGCACCGGCUAACUCCGUGCCAGCAGCCGCGGUAAUACGGGGGGUGCAAGCGUUAAUCGGAAUUACUGGGCGUAAAGGGUCUGUAGGUGGUUUGUUAAGUCAGAUGUGAAAGCCCAGGGCUCAACCUUGGAACUGCAUUUGAUACUGGCAAACUAGAGUACGGUAGAGGAAUGGGGAAUUUCUGGUGUAGCGGUGAAAUGCGUAGAGAUCAGAAGGAACACCAAUGGCGAAGGCAACAUUCUGGACCGAUACUGACACUGAGGGACGAAAGCGUGGGGAUCAAACAGGAUUAGAUACCCUGGUAGUCCACGCUGUAAACGAUGAGUACUAGCUGUUGGAGUCGGUGUAAAGGCUCUAGUGGCGCAGCUAACGCGAUAAGUACUCCGCCUGGGGACUACGGCCGCAAGGCUAAAACUCAAAGGAAUUGACGGGGACCCGCACAAGCGGUGGAGCAUGUGGUUUAAUUCGAUGCAACGCGAAGAACCUUACCUGGUCUUGACAUCCUGCGAACUUUCUAGAGAUAGAUUGGUGCCUUCGGGAACGCAGUGACAGGUGCUGCACGGCUGUCGUCAGCUCGUGUUGUGAAAUGUUGGGUUAAGUCCCGCAACGAGCGCAACCCCUAUUGAUAGUUACCAUCAUUAAGUUGGGUACUCUAUUAAGACUGCCGCUGACAAGGCGGAGGAAGGUGGGGACGACGUCAAGUCAUCAUGGCCCUUACGACCAGGGCUACACACGUGCUACAAUGGGUAUUACAGAGGGCUGCGAAGGUGCGAGCUGGAGCGAAACUCAAAAAGGUACUCUUAGUCCGGAUUGCAGUCUGCAACUCGACUGCAUGAAGUCGGAAUCGCUAGUAAUCGCAGGUCAGAAUACUGCGGUGAAUACGUUCCCGGGUCUUGUACACACCGCCCGUCACACCAUGGGAGUGGGUUGCUCCAGAAGUAGAUAGCUUAACGAAUGGGCGUUUACCACGGAGUGAUUCAUGACUGGGGUGAAGUCGUAACAAGGUAGCCGUAGGGGAACCUGCGGCUGGAUCACCUCCUUAA
RNAcentral lists this ribosomal RNA (1233 nucleotides) under Francisella tularensis. RNAcentral describes it as "bacterial SSU rRNA". It matches the Rfam family "Bacterial small subunit ribosomal RNA", at positions 306 to 1533 of the family's 1533-position model. The record is from RNAcentral. Lineage: Bacteria; Pseudomonadati; Pseudomonadota; Gammaproteobacteria; Thiotrichales; Francisellaceae.